Long non-coding RNA from Equus quagga, 1202 nucleotides. RefSeq lists it as uncharacterized. The transcript is spliced from 3 exons. Lineage: Eukaryota; Metazoa; Chordata; Mammalia; Perissodactyla; Equidae. The record is from RefSeq and is a predicted model, not a curated record.
CAGAGUUCUCAAUUCCAAAUGAAGACUUCUCUCAGCCGGCAACAAGAGAACCCAUUAUAAGCACCUAAUCUCUCUGUUAGGGUUGGCAGAUAAAUUUGAGUUUCAGCAACCCUGCUAGUCCUCCCACUAGCCUUGGAGACUGCCGCCUCCUGACCCGUCACAGGCCCCGGUCCUGCAAAGCUGGUACGAUCGGCGCCCUAAGGGAGCAGCAGGGCCUCCUCCCCCGUUUCAGAGGCGACCAUGCUGAGGCUGGGAGAAGUGCAGUGCCUCGUCUGGGGUCAAACAGUGAUCCGGGCGCAGAGGAGGAAUCCCAGCCCUGACCGGUCCCGCUCCAAGUUCAAGGUCUCCGCGCUGACGCCCCUGGGCAAACCCCGGACCCCCCGCGCGGGCGGGGCUCGCGGGCGGUUUCCGCCCCGCGGAUCGCGCCGGAGGAAAAGGCGAGCGCGAGCCUGCGGGCGCGGGGCAGGCAGCAUUUGGGGCUAGAAUAUUCUAAGUGGUUUUGAAACCCAGCGCCUGUGAGUAAUAAUCCCAACCCUCGUCAUUUGCAUAGCUCUUUCUGGUUGACAAAGGGUGUCCCCAGCAGUGCAUUAGAAUCAUAGAGAAAGCAGACAGGAGAGGGCUGGCUGGCGGGCCCCGCGGGCACUGGGCCGCUUCCUGCGCGCUCCUCGCGCUGACCCUGAGCCGCUUCCCGGGCCCCGGGCUUAGAGACCGGGAACCCCAGGCUGGGGACGCGCAUCGGGGGUUGGGCGUGCGCUCCGGGCCGGGUGCGGGUCCCAGCUCUGCCGCCGCCCGCGCGGGGUGCGAGCGUGUGAGUGUGUGAGCGUGUGCGGUCCCUGCCACUUCCCCGGCCCGUGCUCCAGGCCGCGGGGACCUGUCUGUGCUCCCGGCGACCGGCCGAAAGGUGGCUGGGCCGGACUUGGAUGUGGGGACCUGAGAGCCCGGCCCGGAGGUGAGGAUUCUUUCGGAUCCUUUACCUCAAGUUCUCACCUGCAGUUGGCAGAGGCGGCGAAAUACUUGAGUUUUGAGUUUUUCUUCUCCUUUUUACGUGCCCUGUGCGGCGGGGGGUGGGGAUGCGCUUUGGGCCACCAGGGUUUUCAGGCUGCCCGGGAACUCUUAAAGGAACAUUAGGGGAUCUUUCUGAAAAGCUAAAAACAAACAAACGCGUUUGAAAAUAAAGUCCUGUGGAUAAUCUCCCCACACAA